RNAcentral lists this ribosomal RNA (206 nucleotides) under uncultured bacterium. RNAcentral's name for it is "partial 16S ribosomal RNA". It matches the Rfam family "Bacterial small subunit ribosomal RNA", at positions 568 to 774 of the family's 1533-position model. The record is from RNAcentral.
CGCGCAGGCGGCUGAUCAAGUCCGAUGUGAAAUCUUCCGGCUUAACUAGAAAACGGCAUCGGAUACUGGUCGGCUGGAAGGUGGGAGAGGGUAGCGGAAUUCCCGGUGUAGUGGUGAAAUGCGUAGAUAUCGGGAGGAACACCAGUGGCGAAAGCGGCUACCUGGCCCACUCUUGACGCUGAGGCGCGAAAGCUAGGGAGCAAACG